UACAGAGGGUGCAAGCGUUGUUCGGAAUUACUGGGCGUAAAGCGCGUGUAGGCGGUCUGUUAAGUCUCGUGUGAAAGCCCUGGGCUCAACCCAGGAAGUGCGCGAGAUACUGGCGGACUGGAGUGGCGGAGAGGAUGGCGGAAUACCCGGUGUAGAGGUGAAAUUCGUAGAUAUCGGGUGGAACACCUGUGGCGAAGGCGGCCAUCUGGACGUCAACUGACGCUGAGACGCGAAAGCGUGGGGAGCAAACAGGAUUAGAAACCCCUGUAGUCC
Molecule: ribosomal RNA, 273 nt
Filed under: uncultured bacterium
Lineage: Bacteria
Description: partial 16S ribosomal RNA
Rfam family: Bacterial small subunit ribosomal RNA
Source: RNAcentral